Molecule: ribosomal RNA, 406 nt
Filed under: uncultured bacterium
Lineage: Bacteria
Description: partial 16S ribosomal RNA
Rfam family: Bacterial small subunit ribosomal RNA
Source: RNAcentral
AUUGAACGCUGGCGGCAGGCCUAACACAUGCAAGUCGAGCGAGCGGCGGACGGGUGAGUAAUGUCUGGGAAACUGCCUGAUGGAGGGGGAUAACUACUGGAAACGGUGGCUAAUACCGCAUACUAUCAGAUGUGCCCAGAUGGGAUUAGCUAGUAGGUGGGGUAAAGGCUCACCUAGGCGACGAUCCCUAGCUGGUCUGAGAGGAUGACCAGCCACACUGGGACUGAGACACGGUCCAGACUCCUACGGGAGGCAGCAGUGGGGAAUAUUGCACAAUGGGCGCAAGCCUGAUGCAGCCAUGCCGCGUGUAUGAAGAAGGCCUUCGGGUUGUAAAGUACUUUCAGCGGGGAGGCGUUACCCGCAGAAGAAGCACCGGCUAACUCCGUGCCAGCAGCCGCGGUAAUUC